This 168-nucleotide ribosomal RNA is filed under the name Eubleekeria splendens (splendid ponyfish). Its description in RNAcentral is "partial 12S rRNA". The record is from RNAcentral. Lineage: Eukaryota; Metazoa; Chordata; Actinopteri; Chaetodontiformes; Leiognathidae.
CACCGCGGUUAUACGAGAGACCCAAAUUGACAGUGCCCGGCAUAAAGUGUGGUUAAGAACUUAAAUAAAUAAGGCCGAACUCUUACAAAGCUGUUAUACGCAACCGAAAGAAAGAAGAUCAAUAACGAAAGUAGCCUUACUUAAUCCGAAUCCACGAAAGCCAGGAAA